UCCGGUUUGUCACCGGCAGUCUCAUUAGAGUGCUCUUUCGUAGCAACUAAUGACAAGGGUUGCGCUCGUUGCGGGACUUAACCCAACAUCUCACGACACGAGCUGACGACAGCCAUGCAGCACCUGUGUAAAGGUUCUCUUUCGAGCACCCCCUGAUCUCUCAAGGGUUCCUUCCAUGUCAAGGGUAGGUAAGGUUUUUCGCGUUGCAUCGAAUUAAUCCACAUCAUCCACCGCUUGUGCGGGUCCCCGUCAAUUCCUUUGAGUUUUAAUCUUGCGACCGUACUUCCCAGGCGGCGUAUUUAUCGCGUUGGCUACGCCACAAAAGGGGUCGAUUCCUUUUACAGCAAAUACGCACCGUUUACAGCUAGGACUAC
This 374-nucleotide unclassified non-coding RNA is filed under the name uncultured Gammaproteobacteria bacterium. RNAcentral describes it as "contains 16S-23S intergenic spacer region". The record is from RNAcentral. Lineage: Bacteria; Pseudomonadati; Pseudomonadota; Gammaproteobacteria.